GGAUGCUGGCGAGGCAAAACGCACAUUUUUCCUCUUCUCUUCUUCCGUUCACUAUUGUGUUUAACGUGGGAAGAAGUUAGCGCAACGGAUGUUUCUCUGAUCAAGUGUCUCGUAUGUUUCCAGGGUCAAUAAAUGGAGGUGUUUUGAAGCUAUCCCCGAUCUGAAAUUCUUAUGUGCAGAACUGGAUCAGCUACAUAAAACUGGUGCCGUGACCUUCUUGGAUACAAUUGAUCAGCUGCAGCCGAUCGGCGGGUGUUGUCCGUCUACGUGGAACUGUUGCUGUGACUUCCCUGCAUUCAGCAAGCCGGCUGCAGUCGUCUGCCAGGUGUCUUGCUGUGGAUCGAGUUCUGCCUUCCAUUGUCAGCUAAUGAACUUUCCUCAUUUCAGUUACAUUCAGUUUUCUCUAACAUUCUUAAGACAUUGACUUUUGAAUCAGAUGUAGAAUCAUUAAGACAUUAAAUCAAUUUAUUUUGUUAUAUGCAAGUGACCAGUACGGACAUUAAGAGAUACAACAUGCCUACGCCAGUAUUGGGGAAUGGUAGAGGUUUCAUCAGUUCAGAUGGUGCUGUGAGACGUAAAGAAAAUGAUCAAAUUUGUGAUGUCAAUUUGGGCUUUUCACAAAUGAGGGGAAAAGUCAACUCUGGUGCUUCAUCUUUUGCACCUGCCCCAAUCAGUGAUGAUUCUUGUUUGCAGAUAACAGAGCUACUCGAGGAGCUUGGUAGCCAAAUUGGAGAUAGUAUUUUGGACUGGCUCUUAGCUGAUCGUACUCCUGCUCUGGGCCAUCAGAUUACCCCUGAGAAAGUUAAAAGCGAGCCAGCUAGCACUACUUCUGAUUUAUCCAGGUUGAAUUUGAUUGUACAAUCCGACAAUAGAGAACCUCCCAUUUUCUGUGGUGAUGGUACAGAUAAACACACUGUUCAUGAGUGGAUAGAGUUAAUGGAGGUAUACUUACGAAAGUGUGAUUGCCCUAAAGCAGAGCAUGCCAAUGAGGUUCUGAUCCACCUUUUGGGUAGAGCUAAAAACAUUGUCAAAGUAGGGCUAAAAAGUAAUCCCUCACCUGACAUGGUUGUUACCCCUGAAACCAUUUACAAAAUGCUCUUACGCUAGUGAGAGCCCUGAGUCUUGUCUUCCACUGGCAGACUUCUAUUCUACACUGCCAUAUGCCAAAGAAAGCCCCGUCGACUACUGGGUCCAUCUCAAUAAUGCGGCCAAAAUCGCUGAUAGCAUAAGCAGGUUAGUCGAAUGAAGAACAUUUCACAGGAAAUUGCGAUGAUGUUUAUUAGAAACUGCCCUAAUGUUGAACUUUCUAAUGUGUUUAGGUACAAGCCUAUCACCAAGUGGUUAUCAGCAGAGGUGCAAGAAGCUAUUGAUGAACAUCAAAGGGAGCUGAGAAUGAAGAAACCACAUCCUUACUCUCUCCCUGGCCAUUUGUUACAAGUAGCAAAUGCCGCCGUCAGCCACACAGAGACCACUACUGUGGGCAAUACUGCAGUGAACGCAGCAGCGUGCAAAACCAGUACCCAGACCACAAAGCCUGAGAUUGCCACAGCGCCUCCACACACGGCCUUGAUUAACACGGGUACGUUAGAUCGAGUGCUCAGUAUGCUGGAAAGGAUGCUCGACCGCACUAAUGCACAGGCUGCUCCAGAUAGACCACAGUUGCCUUCUUGGUCUCAUCCAUCCAGAUGUCAAGUCUGGGAGCCGCACUCAGAUUCAGGGAAACUGACACACCCGUACUUGGGUGGGAUGGUGUGGGUGAAGAUGUUCAGACCCUCCAAUAUGAUGCAUCAAGCACAUACGAGUUGACUUGUAAGUCAGUGACAAGUGAUAAUGUGGUUCUGUUUCAGAACGUGACCCAGUUGGCAGGGGCAGACAGCCUUUUCUAUACUGACAUUUUAGUCAAUGACAGCAUUCCUCUAAGAGCCUUGUUAGACGGUGUCUCUAUGGCUUGCACCAUCAGUGAAGUUGCGGAAUCCCGUUUAUUGGAUGCUGCCAUCAGUGAAGUUGCGGAAUCCCGUUUAUUGGAUGCUGGGUUGUCACUGGACCAGUGCAAGAGGCAGGCCAAUAUUAUGCCGGUUGGAUGUGGUGGAGUUCAGGUUGCGCCAAAGUGUACAUACCAGCUGAAGAUGAGAGUGUAUGAGUAUGAAGUCAGUGUACCUACGCUGGUUGUUAUGGGACAACGGGAUGAGUUGAUACUGGGCACCAACGUCCUUAAAUUUAUCUUGAGCCAGUUUAAGCAGAACCCCACAUACUGGCAUGUUGUGAAUAGGCCUGAUUCAACGAAAGAUGCUGAAGUAGAACAGUUCCUUAAUGUACUUUCUGGUUCUUAACAGAUGGAGAGGCGAUGAGAUGCCUGACAUUGGAACUGCCAGAUUAGUACAAGCUGUUACGUUGCUGCCAAAGCAGGAGCACCUGGUGUGGGCCAAGCUCCCUACUACAACACCUAUUUCAGAGGGCAGUGUGGUGCUGAUUGAACCAACUAAGUC
This is a long non-coding RNA of Myxocyprinus asiaticus (Chinese sucker), 2486 nucleotides long. RefSeq lists it as uncharacterized. NCBI's taxonomy places the organism in Eukaryota, Metazoa, Chordata, Actinopteri, Cypriniformes, Catostomidae. The transcript has 3 exons. The record is from RefSeq and is a predicted model, not a curated record.